Molecule: long non-coding RNA, 1056 nt
Filed under: Marmota monax (woodchuck)
Lineage: Eukaryota; Metazoa; Chordata; Mammalia; Rodentia; Sciuridae
Source: RNAcentral
CUCUGAGCUACACUUCCAGCUCUGACAUUUUUUAAUUUCAAAUACUCUUCAUAAAAUUGAUAUAACCACCACAAGGAUGGGAUCCUAAUUAGAAUAACUUAUGCUCCACAUAUGUAUAGUAUGUCAGAAUACACUACUGUCACAUAUAUACAAAAAACGCAAAUAAAAGUAAUAUGUAAAAAAAAAUUGGUAUAACCAAGGGAAGAAAAAUAUUCUAAAUAUGUAACUGGAUAUUGUUCCUGAAAUCAUUCAUGAGGGGUGAUCCAACACCACCUGCCAUCACACACCUUGCACAUGGCAAGCGCUCCUCCACUGGGCUACAUCCCCAGCACUAUGAGAGGUGACUUUAAAGAUGUAGUAUUUUCUGCCACAUUUUCAAGUAAAUAUUGGUAUUUUUUUUCCUACUGAAAGUUAUAGUUUUUAAAGGGCACUGAUGCCUAAGGCUGUUUGUCUUCAUGAAAAUUUCCUUUAUAUCCACUGUACCAGUUCAUUUAUCAGUAUUUGCUUCUUUAACAUUUGAAACCACACAGAUAUCUGAUAUGGGUUGCAUCCUACUGUCAUGUAGAAACAAAUGCUUCCACUUUUAAGGUUUUUUACAUUUAUCAAUAUUACUCUUCUCUAAACUUUUCUGAAAGAAAGUGUCCAAACUUCCCAUAUAUGUAUUCAUUUUAUACUCCCACAAAACCAGUGUAUCUCACUAUAAUUCUUCCUGUAUAUUUUUCUUGCUUGUCUGUAGGAUUUACACUAAUAACAUUCUGCCUCUGUCAUAGUAAUUGAAGUACUCAUCUUCACUUGUGACUUUAUUAUAGAGUUUUAUAAUCUGAAAUAUUCUGCAGUAUCACAACUUAAAAUGAGUUGGUUGGAUUUAAACUUGAUUUACACUGAAAGUUUGUCUUAAGUAAUAGGUGAUAAAACAAAUGGAACAUUUAUCAGCGAUGAUGUGCAGUAUGUAAGGAGGAAAAUUAGCCAAAAGCAAAUAGAAAAUGUUAAUAUGACUUAUAUUUAGCGAGUGUAUUUCCAAUACAUGUCAAAUUUGCAAUAUAUCUGCAAACAUUC